AUGAUCCGUUUUCACCCACAUGAUUUUCUGAAUUGUUUUUUGGAUGGUGGUCGGCAGCCCAUCCCCUAUCAGAAGAGAAGAGAGAGGCGGAGGCGGUGGACGGGGGUCACCACCGUCGGUGAGCAGCGGCAAGGGGUUAGCUGGAGGUCAUGGAGCGCGGGAAGCUGCCGCAGCACAACCCUGGGAAGUUGGAGCCUAGCUGUCGUGGAGGAGCAGGGGGGAAGGAGAGAGGGAGGUACUGAGAAGAGGGCGGCGGAGAUAUUUUGCCAGUCCCGCCACCAGCAAGGUUUCGCCGGUGAUGUCGGAACCGUUCGUCGGCGCCGUUCGAGCCGGAGGGUUGUGGAUUCUUGGGGGCAGAGAUCAUCGAGUGGAUGCUAUGAACCCAACUACGACCCUAAUGACAGUCCCCCAAACACUGAGAGUUGUGAUGAGAGCAUUGCAUAUAGUGAUGAAGAAUCUGUAUCUAGGAGGAAGAAGUUAUUAGAAGAUGCUUUAUUUGUUUUUUUAGGAAGGAGGCAAUCAAAUCACUCGAGAUUUUCCAAAAUUCUGGAAGAAUGUCGACCUUAA
RNAcentral lists this ribosomal RNA (567 nucleotides) under Triticum aestivum (bread wheat). RNAcentral's name for it is "partial small subunit ribosomal RNA". Lineage: Eukaryota; Viridiplantae; Streptophyta; Magnoliopsida; Poales; Poaceae. The record is from RNAcentral.